RNAcentral lists this ribosomal RNA (387 nucleotides) under uncultured bacterium. Its description in RNAcentral is "bacterial SSU rRNA". It matches the Rfam family "Bacterial small subunit ribosomal RNA", at positions 370 to 772 of the family's 1533-position model. The record is from RNAcentral.
AAUGGGCGAAAGCCUGACGCAGCAACGCCGCGUGCGGGAUGACGGCCUUCGUGGUUGUAAACCGCUUUCAGCAGGGACGAAACUGACGGUACCUGCAGAAGAAGCCCCGGCUAACUACGUGCCAGCAGCCGCGGUAAUACGUAGGGGGCAAGCGUUGUCCGGAUUUAUUGGGCGUAAAGAGCUCGUAGGCGGCUCGGUAAGUCAGGUGUGAAACCUCCAGGCUCAACCUGGAGACGCCACCUGAUACUGCCGUGGCUUGAGUCCGGUAGGGGAGCGUGGAAUUUCUGGUGUAGCGGUGAAAUGCGCAGAUAUCAGAAGGAACACCAGCGGCGAAGGCGGCGCUCUGGACCGGAACUGACGCUGAGGAGCGAAAGCGUGGGUAGCAAA